UAGGGAAUAUUGGUCAAUGGGCGAGAGCCUGAACCAGCCAUGCCGCGUGCAGGAAGAAUGCCUUCUGGGUUGUAAACUGCUUUUCUCAAGGAACAAAAGGGUCAUGCGUGACCGAUUGCGUGUACUUGAGGAAUAAGCACCGGCUAACUCCGUGCCAGCAGCCGCGGUAAUACGGAGGGUGCAAGCGUUGUCCGGAUUUAUUGGGUUUAAAGGGUGCGUAGGCGGGCUAUUAAGUCAGUGGUGAAAUCCUCCGGCUCAACCGGAGAAUUGCCAUUGAUACUGGUAGUCUUGAGUACAGUUGAGGUAGGCGGAAUUUAUGGUGUAGCGGUGAAAUGCAUAGAUACCAUAAAGAACACCGAUAGUGAAGACAGCUUACUGUGCUGUAACUGACGCUGAGGCACGAAAGCGUGGGGAGCGAACA
Molecule: ribosomal RNA, 421 nt
Filed under: uncultured bacterium
Lineage: Bacteria
Description: bacterial SSU rRNA
Rfam family: Bacterial small subunit ribosomal RNA
Source: RNAcentral